GACGAACGCUGGCGGCGUGCUUAACACAUGCAAGUCGAACGGAAAGGCCCUGCUUUUGUGGGGUGCUCGGGUGGCGAACGGGUGAGUAACACGUGAGUAACCUGCCCUUGACUUUGGGAUAACUUCAGGAAACUGGGGCUAAUACCGGAUAGGAGCUCCUGCUGCAUGGUGGGGGUUGGAAAGUUUCGGCGGUUGGGGAUGGACUCGCGGCUUAUCAGCUUGUUGGUGGGGUAGUGGCUUACCAAGGCUUUGACGGGUAGCCGGCCUGAGAGGGUGACCGGCCACAUUGGGACUGAGAUACGGCCCAGACUCCUACGGGAGGCAGCAGUGGGGAAUAUUGCACAAUGGGCGGAAGCCUGAUGCAGCAACGCCGCGUGCGGGAUGACGGCCCUCGGGUUGUAAACCGCUUUCGCCUGUGACGAAGCGUGAGUGACGGUAAUGGGUAAAGAAGCACCGGCUAACUACGUG
This 468-nucleotide ribosomal RNA is filed under the name uncultured bacterium. RNAcentral's name for it is "partial 16S ribosomal RNA". It matches the Rfam family "Bacterial small subunit ribosomal RNA", at positions 28 to 507 of the family's 1533-position model. The record is from RNAcentral.